AUGUUAAUAAACAUGAAACCGUGCGGCUCAACUUUGGGAGAACAGCUUUCGUCCAUAAUGGACGUACUUACGAAAGCAGCCGUAUCUGAAAUUAGCCAGCUGUUCUCGGAAGGCUCGGCUACUCUUCACUUACAAAUAACUCGGAGCCUGAAAGAAAACGAGACGCUGAGGACGAAGAUGAAGGUGAUGAGGAGUGAGCUGUUUACUUUGCGGCUUCAAACAAGACCAAAUGCAUCGCGUGCAAGUCGUUUGGCCCUGGCUCGAGCCAACAUCUGCAAACCAGGGACUACAUCAAUGGGAAAUGAAGACUGCGAUGACUUUGGAGACCGCAGCACACAGCACGCCACCCCGGUGAGUCUGCAUGGGGACGCCCCUGGCUCCUCCCGCAUGUCCAGUCACAGAGAGGAGCUGAGGAUCCUGAACGUCUACGGAAAUGGGGAGGGCCCACUGGCGGUAGACUGCCAUGACACCCUCUUCACUGUGUCCGAAGUCGAGGCCCUGAGCUCACUGUCUGCGGAUCACAGCGUGGCCAAGAGCCUGGAGUGCGGCGAGCGACUUGUCCGCCUUGAGGAGCUGACUGGGCAGGUUGGAAAUCAUCUUCUCAUUCAUGUAACGGAUGCUUCCAACUCCAGCACACACCUUAAUGAUUCAGUGUGUCGUUAGUGGGAAUUGACCACUAUUCUGUGCAAAUUAAAGUGUCUAAUGUGGGUUUCCUUCUUUAUUUGGAAAGCAGCAGACCCCAGACCCCAUUUUAAUCAAGGAGGAAGAGGAUAUUGGUGGAGGCAUGCCACCUGUAGGUUAGUAAUACACAUUGCAUCUAUAAAAGCAAGCAAGCCAGCAACGACCUGGAUCAACUGAAAAUGUACUUGAUUCUACCAGCGCUCAAAAGCCUGGUCCUCUUUUGAAAGCGCAUCAUGACCGGAGCCCUGCUAUAACACAAAGAAUAUCCUUAAAAGGGGGAGACGUAGCAGUGCCUUCUCAGCUGGAGCCUUUGACCCUUGACAACCUCAAGGGGUACAAGGAAAAGGCAUAUUCAACAAAUAGAAGCUUUAAAGAAAGAUUGUCAAAAUCCAUCAAAUUUAAAAGUGUGUACAAAGGUAUCCCUUUGUGCAAAUAAUGAAUGAAUACGAAUAUUAUUAAUUAAUUACUUGAACAAAUACAGUACUCUUUGUUUUCCUCUCUGCAGAAGCCUUUGACGUUGGAGACCGCAGCACACUGCGUGGCGGCACCACGGAUAGUCUGCAUGUGG
RNAcentral lists this long non-coding RNA (1249 nucleotides) under Gadus morhua (Atlantic cod). RNAcentral's name for it is "lncRNA (ENSGMOG00000036558.1)". The record is from RNAcentral. Lineage: Eukaryota; Metazoa; Chordata; Actinopteri; Gadiformes; Gadidae.